GCGAGUAUAGUUUAGUGGUAAAAUCCAAGCAUUCCAAGCUUGUGUCGUGAGUUCAAAUCUCGCUAUUCGCU
Molecule: transfer RNA, 71 nt
Filed under: uncultured bacterium
Lineage: Bacteria
Description: tRNA-Gly
Rfam family: tRNA
About the family: Transfer RNA (tRNA) molecules are approximately 80 nucleotides in length. Their secondary structure includes four short double-helical elements and three loops (D, anti-codon, and T loops).
Source: RNAcentral